RNAcentral lists this ribosomal RNA (497 nucleotides) under uncultured bacterium. RNAcentral describes it as "partial 16S ribosomal RNA". It matches the Rfam family "Bacterial small subunit ribosomal RNA", at positions 28 to 507 of the family's 1533-position model. The record is from RNAcentral.
GAUGAACGCUGGCGGCGUGCCUAAUACAUGCAAGUCGAGCGAACGGACGAGAAGCUUGCUUCUCUGAUGUUAGCGGCGGACGGGUGAGUAACACGUGGAUAACCUACCUAUAAGACUGGUAUAACUUCGGGAAACCGGAGCUAAUACCGGAUAAUAUUUUGAACCGCAUGGUUCAAAAGUGAAAGACGGUCUUGCUGUCACUUAUAGAUGGAUCCGCGCUGCAUUAGAUAGUUGGUAAGUUAACGGCUUACCACGGCGACGAUGCAUAGCCGACCGAAGAGGGGGAUAGGCCACACUGGAACUGAGACACGGUCCAGACUCCUACGGGAGGCAGCAGUAGGGAAUCUUACGCAAUAGGCGAAAGCCUGACGGAGCAACGCCGCGUGAGUGAUGAAGGUCUUCGGAUCGUAAAACUCUGUUAUUAGGGAAGAACAUAUGUGUAAGUAACUGUGCACAGCUUGACGGUACCUAAUCAGAAAGCCACGGCUAACUACGUG